ACUCAAAGGAAUAGACGGGGGCCCGCACAAGCGGAGGAACAUGUGGUUUAAUUCGAUGAUACGCGAGGAACCUUACCCGGGCUCGAACGGCAGAGGAAUAUGCAAGAGAUUGCAUAGCCUUUAUGGUCUCUGUCGAGGUGCUGCAUGGUUGUCGUCAGCUCGUGCCGUGAGGUGUCGGCUUAAGUGCCAUAACGAGCGCAACCCUUGUCGUCAGUUGCUAUCAGGUAAAGCUGGGGACUCUGGCGAGACUGCCACCGUAAGGUGUGAGGAAGGGGGGGAUGACGUCAAAUCAGCACGGCCCUUACGUCCGGGGCGACACACGUGUUACAAUGGGUGGUACAGAGGGAAGCUACCCCGUGAGGGGAUGCUAAUCUCCAAAACCACUCUCAGUUCGGAUUGGAGUCUGCAACUCGACUCCAUGAAGUUGGAUUCGCUAGUAAUCGCGCAUCAGCCAUGGCGCGGUGAAUACGUUCCCGGGCCUUGUACACACCGCCCGU
RNAcentral lists this ribosomal RNA (497 nucleotides) under uncultured bacterium. RNAcentral's name for it is "bacterial SSU rRNA". It matches the Rfam family "Bacterial small subunit ribosomal RNA", at positions 899 to 1397 of the family's 1533-position model. The record is from RNAcentral.